RNAcentral lists this long non-coding RNA (8801 nucleotides) under Chinchilla lanigera (long-tailed chinchilla). RNAcentral describes it as "lncRNA (ENSCLAG00000022646.1)". Lineage: Eukaryota; Metazoa; Chordata; Mammalia; Rodentia; Chinchillidae. The record is from RNAcentral.
GUGAAAUUCAUCUGGUGGGCAGUCAGAGAGCUUGCUUCACAGGAAAUUGAAAGGGGUUCCUCCAUUCUGUGAUUUGUAGUGCCAGCAUCAUUCCUUUUCCUGAAGGAAAGCAAGAGAAAAGAUUGAGAGGGGAUGAAAGGAGGGCAGAUGGCUUUCACAUUAAGAGGGAAGAGCCUGAAAUUCUUCAGGUUCUCAUUGUUUAAUUUACAUCAACAGUAGGAAUAUUUGAGAGAAUACCCUAGGGGCCUGUUCAUUUGAUCAGUUUGGUGUCCUUAGUCUGUUGACAAGGUAGACAACACGAAGGAAAUGAAACAAGACAGUAUUAAGUUUUCACCAGGAGAAUGGAAGAUGAGAGGGUCCAAAGAAUGAGGUAUGACUUUUGCUGUGUUCAUUUGGACAGAGGGAAGGCCUGCAUCCAGGAAGCGAUCAGCUGUGCAAGCAAGAAAUCCAGUGGUGGAGAGACCCAGAAAUAAGUAUCUUCCUUGAAUUGAUGAAAAUGAAAAUACAGAAGAAAGAGAAGCAGUUGUCAAAUUUAAAAGUUUUGAAUCACUCCCCAAUGUCUGAUGCCUCUGUCAAUUUUGACUACAAAUCCCCAUCCCCGUUUGACUGCAGCACUGAUCAGGAAGAGAAAAUUGAAGAUGUUGCCAGGCACUGUCUGCCCCAGCAGGACAUAUACACUACUGAAGAAGAAGCUGACACCCUUUUCCCUAGGAAAGUGACAUCCUGCAAUGGGACAGAGGAUAGUGGAGGCGGAGGUACUGGAGUGAAGAAGAAACGGAAGAAAAAGGACCCAGGAGAGCAAGGUGGUACAGCAAAGGGAAACAAGGACAGGGAGCCCAAGCCAAAGAGGAAGCGAGAACCUAAAGAGCCAAAGGAACCCAGGAAGACCAAGGAGCCGAAGAAGGCCAGGGAGCCCAAGGAGCCCAAGCAGAAAGAUGGAGCAAAGAAGGCGCGCAAGCCCCGAGAGGCCUCUGGCACCAAGGAGGCCAAAGAGAAGAGGAGCAGUGCUGACUCUGCAGCCAGGACAAAGUCCAAGAAGGCCAGCAAGGAGCAAGGACCAACACCAGUGGAGAGAAAGAAGAAAGGAAAGAGGAAAAGUGAAACAACAGUGGAGAGUUUAGAACUGGAUCAGGGCCUGCCGAACUCAUCCCUGCGGAGUCCCGAGGAGUCCACUGAGUCUGCUGACAGCCAGAAACGACGUUCAGGUCGACAAGUGAAACGCAGAAAAUACAACGAGGACCUCGACUUUAAAGUGGUGGAUGAUGACGGGGAAACGAUCGCUGUUCUUGGAGCUGGCCGAACAUCUGCACUCUCAGCUUCUACACUGGCUUGGCAGGCAGAGGAGCCUCCAGAAGAUGAUGCAAACAUCAUCGAGAAGAUAUUGGCAUCUAAGACCGUCCAAGAGGUUCACCCAGGAGAACCUCCAUUUGACCUAGAGCUAUUCUACGUUAAGUAUAGAAAUUUUUCCUACUUACAUUGUAAAUGGGCUACAAUGGAAGAGCUGGAAAAGGAUCCUCGCAUCGCACAGAAGAUCAAGCGAUUUAGAAAUAAACAAGCGCAGAUGAAGCACAUUUUUACUGAGCCUGAUGAAGAUUUGUUCAACCCAGACUAUGUAGAAGUCGAUCGCAUCUUAGAAGUGGCCCACACUAAGGAUGCAGAAACAGGGGAGGAAGUAACACAUUACCUGGUGAAGUGGUGUUCCCUGCCAUAUGAAGAAAGCACGUGGGAGCUAGAGGAAGAUGUGGAUCCUGCAAAAGUUAAGGAAUUUGAGUCUCUGCAGGUUCUGCCUGAAAUUAAGCAUGUGGAGCGGCCUGCAUCAGACUCCUGGCAGAAACUUGACAAGUCUCGCGAGUAUAAGAACAGUAACCAGCUCCGAGAGUACCAAUUGGAAGGCAUGAACUGGCUUCUUUUUAAUUGGUAUAACAGGAAAAACUGUAUUUUGGCUGAUGAGAUGGGCUUAGGGAAAACCAUUCAGUCCAUCACAUUCCUUUCAGAAAUAUUCCUCAGGGGGAUCCAUGGCCCUUUUCUCAUCAUUGCACCUCUCUCUACUAUCACCAACUGGGAGAGGGAGUUCCGGACAUGGACAGAGAUGAAUGCCAUUGUGUACCACGGCAGCCAGAUCAGCAGGCAAAUGAUCCAGCAGUAUGAGAUGGUGUACAGGGAUGCACAGGGAAAUCCCCUUUCAGGAGUUUUCAAGUUCCAUGUCGUCAUCACAACAUUUGAGAUGAUCCUGGCAGAUUGCCCAGAGUUGAAGAAGAUUCACUGGAGCUGUGUGAUAAUUGAUGAGGCACACAGAUUGAAGAAUAGGAAUUGCAAACUUCUAGAGGGGUUAAAGCUUAUGGCCCUGGAACAUAAAGUGCUACUCACCGGAACACCCUUACAAAACUCUGUGGAAGAGCUGUUCAGUUUGCUAAAUUUUCUGGAGCCAACACAGUUUCCUUCAGAGACUGCAUUCUUGGAGGAGUUUGGAGAUCUGAAAACAGAGGAACAGGUGAAGAAAUUGCAAUCUAUCCUAAAACCAAUGAUGCUUCGACGCCUGAAAGAUGAUGUGGAAAAGAACCUUGCUCCUAAACAAGAGACCAUCAUUGAAGUAGAAUUGACCAAUAUCCAGAAAAAGUACUACCGAGCUAUCCUGGAGAAAAAUUUUUCCUUCCUGACUAAGGGGGCAAAUCAGCACAACAUGCCCAAUCUUAUCAACACCAUGAUGGAGCUGAGAAAGUGCUGUAACCAUCCCUACUUGAUCAAUGGAGCAGAGGAAAAAAUUCUGGAAGAUUUCCGAAAAACUCACAGUCCUGAUGCUCCUGACUUUCAGCUGCAGGCCAUGAUCCAGGCAGCCGGGAAGCUGGUGCUGAUUGAUAAACUGCUUCCUAAGCUGAUUGCAGGUGGCCACAAAGUGCUCAUCUUCUCCCAGAUGGUGCGCUGCCUUGAUAUCCUCGAAGAUUAUCUCAUCCAGAGAAGAUACACCUAUGAGCGAAUUGAUGGGCGAGUACGGGGAAACCUGCGCCAGGCAGCCAUCGACCGAUUCUGUAAGCCAGACUCAGACCGCUUUGUCUUUCUUCUGUGCACCAGAGCGGGAGGCCUGGGGAUCAAUCUCACAGCUGCUGAUACCUGCAUCAUAUUUGAUUCUGACUGGAACCCACAAAAUGACUUGCAGGCUCAGGCCCGAUGUCACCGUAUAGGCCAGAGCAAAGCUGUGAAGGUGUACCGCCUCAUCACUCGGAACUCCUAUGAGCGGGAAAUGUUUGACAAGGCCAGCCUAAAGCUGGGCCUGGACAAGGCUGUCCUUCAGGACAUCAACCGAAAGGGCGGCACCAAUGGAGUACAGCAGCUCUCAAAAAUGGAGGUGGAGGAUUUGCUCCGGAAAGGUGCUUAUGGAGCCUUAAUGGACGAGGAGGAUGAAGGUUCCAAGUUCUGUGAAGAAGAUAUAGACCAGAUUCUGCAAAGGAGAACCCACACCAUCACCAUCCAGUCCGAAGGGAAAGGGUCCACUUUUGCCAAGGCUAGCUUUGUGGCUUCAGGAAACCGGACAGAUAUUUCCUUAGAUGACCCUAACUUUUGGCAGAAAUGGGCUAAAAUAGCUGAACUGGACACCGAAGCAAAGAAUGAAAAGGAGAGCUUAGUGAUCGACCGGCCUCGUGUAAGAAAGCAGACCAAACACUACAACUCUUUUGAGGAGGAUGAGCUUAUGGAGUUUUCAGAGUUAGACAGUGACUCAGAUGAAAGACCCACAAGAUCCAGACGCCUCAAUGACAAAGCCAGGCGCUACCUCCGAGCUGAGUGCUUCCGAGUAGAGAAGAACCUGCUCAUCUUUGGCUGGGGCCGAUGGAAGGACAUCCUGACUCAUGGGCGAUUCAAGUGGCACCUGAAUGAGAAGGAUAUGGAGAUGAUCUGCCGGGCCCUGCUGGUGUACUGUGUCAAACAUUAUAAGGGGGAUGAGAAGAUCAAGAGUUUCAUUUGGGAACUAAUCACACCUACGAAAGAUGGACAGGCCCAGACUCUCCAGAACCACUCAGGGUUGUCUGCCCCAGUCCCUAGAGGGAGGAAAGGAAAGAAGAUGAAGAAUCAGCUGCUGCUCCCAGAACUAAAAAAUGCAGACUGGCUGACCACCUGCAACCCUGAGGUGGUCUUGCAUGAUGAUGGCUACAAGAAACACCUCAAGCAGCACUGUAACAAAGUCCUUUUGCGAGUCCGGAUGCUGUACUACCUAAAAGCUGAAAUCCUGGGAGAAGCAGCUGAUAAAGCAUUUGAGGGAGCUCCUGCCAGGGAACUGGAUGUGCCUCUGCCUGACAUUGACUACGUGGAGAUCCCAGUGGACUGGUGGGAUGCUGAGGCUGAUAAAUCCCUUCUCAUUGGUGUUUUCAAGCAUGGUUAUGAGAGGUACAAUGCCAUGCGAGCAGACCCAGCCCUCUGCUUCCUGGAGAAAGUUGGGAUGCCAGAUGAGAAGUCCCUUUCAGCAGAGCAGGGUGGUACAGAUGGGACAUCAGACAUUCCUGAAAGAGGCAACAUGGAUAAAGAAGACACCACCGAAGACAAAUUAGAUGGCCUCCAGAAACAAACGGAGAAUUCCAGUGACGGUGGCGAAGGCGUUUUUGGUGAAAAGAAGGAUGACAGCCGGGCAGCCCAGGAUAGCUCCGACCCAGACAAAUCACCCUGGCCAGUUUCAUCCGCUCUCACAGCUCGUCUCCGGCGUCUGGUCACUAUCUACCAGCGCUGCAACCGUAAAGAGCUCUGCAGACCUGAAAUCCUGGGACCGGGUAACCAGGGAUACUGGGUUCAGGAGGAGAUGUUCAGGAGAACCUCAGAAAUGGACCUCAUCAACAAGGAAACCCAGAAGAGGUGGACCAGGAGAGAGCAAGCAGACUUCUACAGAACAGUGUCUUCCUUUGGUGUUGUUUACGAUCAAGAGAAGAAAACCUUCGACUGGACCCAGUUCCGCAUCAUAUCCCGUCUGGACAAGAAGUCAGAUGAGAGCCUGGAACACUAUUUUUAUAAUUUUGUGGCCAUGUGCCGGAACGUCUGUCGUCUGCCUGCCUGGAAAGAUGGUGGUCCCCCUGAUGCCACCGUCUACAUUGAACCCAUCACUGAGGAACGGGCUGCAAGAACUCUGUACCGCAUUGAAUUGUUACGGAAAGUCCGAGAGCAGGUGCUCAGGUGUCCUCAGCUGCAUGAGCGCCUCCAACUCUGCAGGCCCAGCCUCUACCUCCCAGUCUGGUGGGAGUGUGGCAAGCAUGAUCGAGACCUGCUCAUCGGUACGGCCAAACACGGGCUUAACCGUACUGACUAUUACAUCAUGAAUGACCCCCAGCUGUCCUUCCUGGAUGCCUACAGAAACUAUGCCCAGCAUAAAAGAACUGAUACUCAGGCACCAGGCAGUCUCUGUUGUCUUUACCAGACCAACUCCAAAUUAUAUGAAUCUCUUACCUAUGCUCAAAUGAGUAGGACUUCAGAGUCUCUUGAGAGUGAACCUGAGAACCUGGUGAAAAUUGAAAGCAGAGAUGAUCCUCUGGGUCUGCCUGGAGGCAGCUUUCCUGAUGUGACUUGUGACAAUUUUAUUUCUAAAGUUCAGGAUGUUAUUUCUAUCAACCAUGAUGAAAGUCUGCUGCCUGAGAGCUUGGAGAACAUGAUGUAUGGUAACAAGGUCCUCAGCCCAGAGCCAGGCUCUUUUCAGGAAGGCCCAGUAAUCAACACAGAAUGCAGAAAAGAUACUGUUGUGAUCUCAGCAAGCAAAAAUGCAGGCUGCCGGCCUGGUGACCGUGAGGCAGAAAUAGCUGCAGUUUCUCUUAUGGAUACCAUAGAAGCAGGAGUAGCUCAAAUGAACAUCGAAAGUGGAGAACAUUUGUUGACACCUAUUUCAAAGGAAAGGGAGCGCUGCUGCGGUGAGGCAGGGCGGAGACCUGAAAGCUUGGGGCAGCUGGAAGCCAAAUGCCUACCUUCCACUGCCUUGGAUGCAGGAAAUGAAAGUGGGUUUGUAGAUAUGUGCAGUCUCAGUGUCUGUAACUCUAAAAGAAACCUCUCAUCAGAUCAGAAAUUAAUUGAUUUAUUACAAAGCAAAAGUUUAGAAACUAAAUUGAUUUUGAGUCAGAACCAGAGUGAUGAGGAGGAGGAAGAGGAUGAAAAUGAGGAAGAAACUUUAGCCAUGGCAGCAGGCACCAGAGAAAAGCCAGAAGCUUUGCAUCUCACCAGUCCCACUGCUAACAACCCAAGGGAAAAGAGCCAAGGCUUCCAUCUGGAUGAAGCUAAGAAAGGAAGCCUAGAGGUGGUGAGCCAAACUCCUGGGCCGCCGAGGGCCUUUCCUCCAGCGUCCUGUCAGUGCCACUGCAAACACGUGGAAAGGUGGGCACACGGCCUCGGGAAUGAUGAAUUUGAAGUAGAGAAACCCAAGGCUUAUCACCCAGACCUGUACAAAAGCAAAGCCAAUAAUACCACCAUGGAAGGUGAGCCCACUACUAUUCCAUCAGAGCCAUUUAAAGUGAAGCCUGAGCUUUUAAAAGAACCUUGGAAAGAAUGUGCAGAAAGAAAAAAAGGUUUCUCCACAUACGCUCCCGAAGGAAGUGAACCCAAGUCAGAAGACAUGGAUUUCGAAAAUAAAGAUGACUAUGACAGAGAUGGAACCUGCCAGAGUCAAGACUAUCCAGGGAAAUACUCAGAAGAGGAGAGCAAGAGCUCAGCCUCGGGUAUUGCCGGAGACCUUGGGGAUGACCCACAGGAGGCUCGAGCUCCCACCAUUGCUCAGCUGCUGCAGGAGAAAACCCUCUACUCCUUCUCGGAGUGGCCAAAGGAUCGUGUGAUAAUUAAUCGCCUAGAUAGCAUCUGCCAUGUGGUGUUGAAGGGAAAGUGGCCAUCUAGCCAGCAGUAUGAGCCCUCGGGCACACUGUCCACCCCAGUCUUAGUCAACAGCGCUGGUUCUCGGAACAGUCUCCCGGAGCCAGAAGCAGCAGAACACAGCUUCAGCAACGGUGCGACAUUGGCAGCUCAGGUCCAAAAGGAGAGCUUCUUAGCUCCAGUAUUCACAAAAGAUGAACAAAAGCACAGACGUCCCUAUGAGUUUGAGGUGGAGAGGGAUGCCAAGGCUCGGAGCCUAGAACAGUUCUCUGCCACCCACGGGCACCCCCCCAUCGUCCUCAAUGGCUGGCAUGGAGAGUCAGCUAUAGACCUCUCCUGCUCAUCAGAGGGGUCCCCAGGAGCCACAUCCCCUUUCCCAGUGAGUGCCAACACCCCUAAGAUUGGGGCUAUCGGUUCACUUCAAGGAGCCCUUGGCAUGGACUUGUCUGGGAUCCUGCAAGCUGGCCUGAUCCACCCAGUGACUGGACAGAUUGUCAACGGAAGCCUCAGACGAGAUGAUGCUGCCAUGAGGAGGCGGAGGGGAAGACGGAAACAUGUUGAAGGCGGGAUGGACCUCAUCUUUUUGAAGGAGCAAACACUUCAGGCAGGAAUCUUGGAAGUCCAUGAAGACCCAGCACAGGCCACCUUGAGCACCACACACCCUGAAGGCCCAGGACCUGCUACCUCGGCCCCUGAGCCAGCAGUAGCAGCCAACGGCCAGGCCGAGAAAACCAUUCCAAGCAAGAGCCUGCUUGACUGGCUGCGGCAGCAGGCUGACUACUCCUUAGAUGUUCCUGGCUUUGGGGCAAAUUUUUCAGACAGACCAAAGCAGAGGAGGCCACGCUGUAAAGAACCUGGAAAAUUAGACAUCAGCUCUCUGAGUGGAGAAGAGAGGGUUCCUGCUGUCCCCAAGGAGCCAGGACUGAGGGGGUUUCUCCCAGAAAACAAGUUCAAUCAUACCCUGGGUGAGCCUGUACUUCGGGAUGCAGGCCCCCGCCGGAGGGGGCGGCGGCCUCGGAGUGAGCUCCUGAAAGCGCCAGCCAUUGUGGCAGACUCUCCCUCUGGAAUGGGACCUCUAUUCAUGAAUGGGUUGAUUGCAGGAAUGGACCUGGUAGGAUUGCAGAAUGUGAGAAAUAUGCCAGGCAUCCCUCUCACUGGGCUGGUGGGCUUCCCAGCUGGCUUUGCAACCAUGCCUACAGGCGAAGAGGUAAAAAGCACCCUCAGCAUGCUGCCCAUGAUGCUGCCAGGCAUGGCCACAGUGCCCCAGAUGUUUGGUGUUGGGGGACUCCUCAAUCCUCCUAUGGCAACCACCUGCACGUCCACUGCUCCAGCGUCACUCUCAAGCACAACGAAAAGUGGUACGGCAGCCACUGAAAAGACUGCGGAGGACACACCCGGCGGCCAUGAUGUAAAAGCAGACACGUUAGCUGAAGACAAGCCUGGUCCUAGUCCAUUUUCUGAUCAGUCUGAAUCCGCAAUAACUACUAGUAGCCCUGUGGCUUUUAACCCGUUUCUCAUCCCGGGAAUGUCUCCUGGACUCAUUUACCCAUCCAUGUUUCUCUCCCCUGGUAUGGGCAUGGCUCUGCCGGCCAUGCAGCAGGCCAGACACUCUGAGGUAGUUGGUCUGGAGAGCCAGAAGAGGAAGAAGAAGAAAACAAAGGGGGACAACCCCAACCCCAACCCCAACCCCAACCCCAACCCAGAGCCUGCUCCCGGGUGCGAAAGGGAGCCAGGCGCUGAUCAGAACUGCACCGAAUCCAGCACCCCUGUACCCCCAGAGAGACAACAUGUGACACAGCCUGGAGAAGGGGGACUCAAGGACUCCAACAGUGACACCAAUUAGAACUUUUUCAUUUAAGAAAUUAUUGUGACUUGUUUCUUAUCCCAUAAAGCGAGUGAGUGAGGAUUACCAGUCCCACCGGAAAGAGGAACAUCGAGAAUGUGGAAGGGGCAAAGAAGAGCUUGCUCCAGGUCCCAAG